AGGUCCAGUGGACAGAAUUCAGACGUCUCUGUGUGUCCGGUCCUGUCCGGUCCUGUCUCUGGUUGCCUGGUUACAGACACUGCUGCACCCGCACGUUUAAAAAUGUCUACACCUGAAACUCCACCACGUCUAAAGAAGCAAAAACGUUUGCAAAUGUACAGACUGGAGUGGGAAGAGUGGAACCCCUGGCAAUGGAUACAAGGCAAACUGUGUUUAUGUUGCUCAUGGACUGGCUGAAGUAAGGCAGCAUCAGGAGACAAACAUGGAGGAAAUAUGAGAACAGAGAGAACCCAACCAGCAGGUCACAGUUUAUCAUCAUCUAAUCAUCUCCUGAAGUCCAUAUGACCAAAGAACUACAGACUCUUCACAACCUGCUCAAACUCUUGGUACAGGACCUCACCACACGGGUCAAGAAGGUUUCCAUCUCAUUUCUACUCUGAAGCUCACCUUCUCCUGCUCAAACUACUGACAAAUGUUUCUGCUGCUCUAAAGUCUGGUCUCCAGAACUUCCUAAAAACUCUCAAAGGCUCUUCUGCUGCAGGUUGCUUUGUAGAACUGUUCCAGAAAACCUCACUAAACCACAUGGAGGGGCCUCAAGAUAGUCGUCCAAAUGAAACCGUACAAAAACCAAACUAGCACAACCCAAAUGCUAAAGUCUCCUGCAGCCUACCAGAGAACCUCUGAGAACAGAGAAUCAGGACAGGAACUCUUACCUUCUGGACAACCAACACUGGUUCUCAAACAAGAAUACAGAAUGUAUCUGACCAAAAACCUCUAAAGACUCACUACAGCCAAGAUAAAGACACAACUCAGCUGCACCAAAUCCACUAAUCACUGCACACAUUACCACCAUGUGCUAACUGUGGCUAAAGAACCACAUUUACCAAGACAACUAUCCAGUACAAAGCCCUAAAACACACCAAGAAACACAUUAAAGACGAUUUUACUGCUGGAAGCUGCAAGCCAACACCUAAAGAACAAACUGAAGCAACAGAGCCAAACCCGGUUCACUGGUGAAGAGAAGCAGAGGAAAUGUUUGUCUGCAGCUAAAUAAAGCAGGAAGACACUGAGCUGCUCAGGUGUUCCUGAUAACACCAAGCAGCCACCUGGACAGCCAAUAGGAACACAGCUUACUGGAAGUCCAGAGGGCUGGGUUAGUGAAGGAAAUUUAAUUUAAAGUUGAAGCAGAAAGUUAAUAAAGAAAGUUGAAAACCACCUUCUGAUACCUGAAAUCUCUGAGUUUUCACACAAAGAAUGCCUGAACAUGUCAAACUGGUUCCAUAGUAGAACCAUCAUUGUAAAAACGUCAUAGUAUGGUGUGUUGCUCAAAAAACAUUAGGACCCGGCUGUCAGGGGACAAACAUGUAAGAAACAUGAGAACAGAGAGAACCCAACCAGUAGGUCACAGUUUAUCAUCCCCCAGUCAUCUCCUGAAGUCCAUAUGGUGAGAGACAUCAGUGUCUGGUUGUUAAUUUACCAGAGGAUGCUUAUAAUCAUGCUGAUGUGGUCUGUACUCUACAGUAUUUUAGUGACUCAAUAAAUGCCUAAGUCAACCCGCCCGGCCAGCAGGCAGAUGGGUCCCCCCACAUUAGAGCCGGGUUCUGCUCGAGGUUUUUUUCCCUGUUAAAAGGGUGUUUUCCUUGCCACUGUCGCCUUUUGGCUUGCUCUGGGGGUCAGGCAUAUUGGUUCUGUAAAGCGUCUCGAGACAAUUUGACUGUAAUUGGUGCUAUAUAAAUAAAAUUGAAUUGAAUUGAA
Amphiprion ocellaris (clown anemonefish) is the source of this 1755-nucleotide long non-coding RNA. RefSeq lists it as uncharacterized. The record is from RefSeq and is a predicted model, not a curated record. Lineage: Eukaryota; Metazoa; Chordata; Actinopteri; Pomacentridae. The transcript has 2 exons.